GACGAACGCUGGCGGCGUGCUUAACACAUGCAAGUCGAACGGAAAGGCCCUGCUUUUGUGGGGUGCUCGAGUGGCGAACGGGUGAGUAACACGUGAGUAACCUGCCCUUGACUUUGGGAUAACUUCAGGAAACUGGGGCUAAUACCGGAUAGGAGCUCCUGCUGCAUGGUGGGGGUUGGAUAGUUUCGGCGGUUGGGGAUGGACUCGCGGCUUAUCAGCUUGUUGGUGGGGUAGUGGCUUACCAAGGCUUUGACGGGUAGCCGGCCUGAGGGGGUGACCGGCCACAUUGGGACUGAGAUACGGCCCAGACUCCUACGGGAGGCAGCAGUGGGGAAUAUUGCACAAUGGGCGGAAGCCUGAUGCAGCAACGCCGCGUGCGGGAUGACGGCCUUCGGGUUGUAAACCGCUUUCGCCUGUGACGAAGCGUGAGUGACGGUAAUGGGUAAAGAAGCACCGGCUAACUACGUG
This 468-nucleotide ribosomal RNA is filed under the name uncultured bacterium. RNAcentral describes it as "partial 16S ribosomal RNA". It matches the Rfam family "Bacterial small subunit ribosomal RNA", at positions 28 to 507 of the family's 1533-position model. The record is from RNAcentral.